Molecule: unclassified non-coding RNA, 527 nt
Filed under: Hevea brasiliensis (rubber tree)
Lineage: Eukaryota; Viridiplantae; Streptophyta; Magnoliopsida; Malpighiales; Euphorbiaceae
Source: RNAcentral
CUUCUAGGAUUGCCUCGGCUUCCUGAAAAUUAUCACAAUUUCUAGUAAUUGCAUGGCAAAAACUCAGAUUCAACUCUAGAAAAAGGCAAGAACCAACUUGCAUCGAAAUCACAAAAAGAAUGGCACAUAUUAGAAAAUUAUAUCAAAUAAAGAGUGGCCACUGUUAGCAACAGGUUAAAUUAGGUUUAACCCCAUGGUUAUGACAUUCUAUUUACAGGAAAACAACCUUUUUUCUCCCAGAUGGUUUCCUUAUCCAAGAAGUAAGCUUGUUUUGAUAUAAUUGAACAACUUUCAAAUUCAAUGAGCUUUCUGAAUGAUCAUAAGACUUACAGACAGUUUGAAAUUUACAUAUUAUCCAUGUAGACGUGAGAUCAGGUGUCCAACCUGAUGAAGUGCGCAUGUGAUGUCAUAUAUAGCAUGUAUUAUAAUCCUUUGAAAAUUGAUAAAUGAUCAUUAUGUGGAACUGUAAUCAAAGAGGAUAUGCAAUUGCAAUGCAAUAAAUACCUCAUUCAGUAAGGUUAGUGCUG